RNAcentral lists this ribosomal RNA (284 nucleotides) under uncultured diatom. RNAcentral's name for it is "partial large subunit ribosomal RNA". It matches the Rfam family "Eukaryotic large subunit ribosomal RNA", at positions 415 to 791 of the family's 3401-position model. Lineage: Eukaryota; Bacillariophyta. The record is from RNAcentral.
GGAAGCGAAGGAAACCAGUGCCCAGCCUGUCAUAUUUCUCUGUUCGCUUGCGGGCAGAGCGCUGUGGCAGGCGACGGUCAGGAUCCUUUGUCCCGGCUGUAAUUAACAGUUGGGAUGAAGGAUGCUGACAAAAUGGUUUUCUUUGCCCCGUCUUGAAACACGGACCAAGGAGUCUAACAUAUUUGCGAGUACAGAGGUGUUAAACCUCCGUGCGUAGUGAAGGCGAUAGUGGUUGUAUCUCUAUUGCCCAAUCCACCGGCCACAAUCCCUCGGGAGAACGGUCU